Long non-coding RNA from Acipenser ruthenus (sterlet), 6538 nucleotides. RefSeq lists it as uncharacterized. The record is from RefSeq and is a predicted model, not a curated record. The transcript has 13 exons. NCBI's taxonomy places the organism in Eukaryota, Metazoa, Chordata, Actinopteri, Acipenseriformes, Acipenseridae.
UAAGUUUGAUCUGUUUGUUUGUCAUUUUUGUAGUGAAACCAUUUUAAAAUAGAGACACAUAUUUUGCAGCUUCAGUGGUUGUAUGUUGUCCAAUUUUAGUGUUAAACAGGUUUUUUUCUUGCAUUUCUUUAUAUCGGCUUAAAUUUGUUGCAGUAAAACAACAGGUUUUAUUUUAGAAAACUUUCAAUUUUGUGUUAUUUGAAACAAUAAUUUGACCUGUUCAAAACAAAGAAAAUGUGUAGUGAAAGAUUUGUCAUAGUUUUUCAUUUAUGGUUAUGUGGUAGAAAAUUCACAAAACAAGGUAUUCUAAACAAUGUUAAGAACACAUAUUUUAUUAUUAUUAUUUAUUUCUUAGCAGACGCCCUUAUCCAGGGCAACUUACAAUUGUUACAAGAUAUCACAUUAUUUUUACAUCCAAUUACAUUAUUUUUACAUGCAAUUGCCCAUUAUACAGUUGGGUUUUUACUGGAGCAAUCUAGGUAAAGUACCUUGCUCAAGAGUACAGCAACAGUGUCCCCAACCGGGGAUUGAACCCACGACCCUACAGUCAAGAGUCCAGAGCCCUAACCACUACUCCACACUGCUGCCCUAGCCACACAAGUGUUUAAAUAAACACUCCCUUUAGUUAAAAUGCCUAGCCAGGUAACUUCUUAAUUAUUGUAUCUAUUUAAUUAAGGAUUCCCCUUUAAGAAGGCUGAACUCCCAUGAGCCUUUGUUCUUUUUUAAACAGGUAGAGGGUGGAAGGGAGGCAGGUUUUGUGUUCUGGGUUCCUCCAUUUUGUGUAUGGCGGUGUGGUUUGUGUGCAGGUUCUGAAUGGGUUAGAGUUGGCUUUCAGGAUUUUAUUUACAAGAAAAUUAUAUUAAAUAAGAACUAUACCUACCUUGGAGCAUCUCUUGGACAACUUGUUGCUGUUGGACUGCCACUGGAACUACAGAAUAAGCAUCAACAAACAAACAGUCGGGUCUGUGAGGAUGAGAAGGUCUCCACAGUCUGGAGUCUGGUCUCUGACAGGCUCAACAUACCUGUCAAUCAACAGGGACUCUUCUACAAAGGCAAGGCGCUGGCAGGUAGGCUGAACAGCACAGCACAGCACAGCUCACCCCUCCUCUCACCCCUCGCCUCACCCCGGGUCAGUGUGGCACAGCCUGCCUGCUCUUCUGAACAAACACUUCAGCUCUGCCGACGCAGUGAGAGUCUGGAGCAGCUACACGAGGUAAUGAAGUGACACUUUGAAUAUGGGGCCUGAUGAGAGAAAUAUCCUUUUCAUGUGGUUUUGGUUUUGCCGUUGUGAGCAGGUGUGGGAGACAGCACCGUGUCUGCAUGUGAAAUAACAAAGUCAUCGCAGUGGAGGGACUCUCUGAAGGCUGCUGUUUGUGGAUUUGUCUUGUAAUGUCUGUGCGGAUGAGAAGGUCUCCACAGUCUGGAGUCUGGUCUCUGACAGGCUCAACAUACCUGUCAAUCAACAGGGACUCCUCUACAAAGGCAAGGCGCUGGCAGGUAGGCUGAACAGCACAGCACAGCACAGCUCACCCCUCCUCUCACCCCUCGCCUCACCCCGGGUCAGUGUGGCACAGCCUGCCUGCUCUUCUGAACAAACACUUCAGCUCUGCCGACGCAGUGAGAGUCUGGAGCAGCAACACAAGGUAAUGAAGUGACACUUUGAAUAUGGGGCCUGAUGAGAGAAGUAUCCUUUUCAUGUGGUUUUGGUUUUGCCGUUGUGAGCAGGUGUGGGAGACAGCACCGUGUCUGCAUGUGAAAUAACAAAGUCAUCGCAGUGGAGGGACUCUCUGAAGGCUGCUGUUUGUGGAUUUGUCUUGUAAUGUCUGUGCGGAUGAGAAGGUCUCCACAGUCUGGAGUCUGGUCUCUGACAGGCUCAACAUACCUGUCAAUCAACAGGGACUCCUCUACAAAGGCAAGGCGCUGGCAGGUAGGCUGAACAGCACAGCACAGCACAGCUCACCCCUCCUCUCACCCCUCGCCUCACCCCGGGUCAGUGUGGCACAGCCUGCCUGCUCUUCUGAACAAACACUUCAGCUCUGCCGACGCAGUGAGAGUCUGGAGCAGCAACACAAGGUAAUGAAGUGACACUUUGAAUAUGGGGCCUGAUGAGAGAAAUAUCCUUUUCAUGUGGUUUUGGUUUUGCCGUUGUGAGCAGGUGUGGGAGACAGCACCGUGUCUGCAUGUGAAAUAACAAAGUCAUCGCAGUGGAGGGACUCUCUGAAGGCUGCUGUUUGUGGAUUUGUCUUGUAAUGUCUGUGCGGAUGAGAAGGUCUCCACAGUCUGGAGUCUGGUCUCUGACAGGCUCAACAUACCUGUCAAUCAACAGGGACUCCUCUACAAAGGCAAGGCGCUGGCAGGUAGGCUGAACAGCACAGCACAGCACAGCUCACCCCUCCUCUCACCCCUCGCCUCACCCCGGGUCAGUGUGGCACAGCCUGCCUGCUCUUCUGAACAAACACUUCAGCUCUGCCGACGCAGUGAGAGUCUGGAGCAGCAACACAAGGUAAUGAAGUGACACUUUGAAUAUGGGGCCUGAUGAGAGAAGUAUCCUUUUCAUGUGGUUUUGGUUUUGCCGUUGUGAGCAGGUGUGGGAGACAGCACCGUGUCUGCAUGUGAAAUAACAAAGUCAUCGCAGUGGAGGGACUCUCUGAAGGCUGCUGUUUGUGGAUUUGUCUUGUAAUGUCUGUGCGGAUGAGAAGGUCUCCACAGUCUGGAGUCUGGUCUCUGACAGGCUCAACAUACCUGUCAAUCAACAGGGACUCCUCUACAAAGGCAAGGCGCUGGCAGGUAGGCUGAACAGCACAGCACAGCACAGCUCACCCCUCCUCUCACCCCUCGCCUCACCCCGGGUCAGUGUGGCACAGCCUGCCUGCUCUUCUGAACAAACACUUCAGCUCUGCCGACGCAGUGAGAGUCUGGAGCAGCAACACAAGGUAAUGAAGUGACACUUUGAAUAUGGGGCCUGAUGAGAGAAAUAUCCUUUUCAUGUGGUUUUGGUUUUGCCGUUGUGAGCAGGUGUGGGAGACAGCACCGUGUCUGCAUGUGAAAUAACAAAGUCAUCGCAGUGGAGGGACUCUCUGAAGGCUGCUGUUUGUGGAUUUGUCUUGUAAUGUCUGUGCGGAUGAGAAGGUCUCCACAGUCUGGAGUCUGGUCUCUGACAGGCUCAACAUACCUGUCAAUCAACAGGGACUCCUCUACAAAGGCAAGGCGCUGGCAGGUAGGCUGAACAGCACAGCACAGCACAGCUCACCCCUCCUCUCACCCCUCGCCUCACCCCGGGUCAGUGUGGCACAGCCUGCCUGCUCUUCUGAACAAACACUUCAGCUCUGCCGACGCAGUGAGAGUCUGGAGCAGCAACACAAGGUAAUGAAGUGACACUUUGAAUAUGGGGCCUGAUGAGAGAAGUGUCCUUUUCAUGUGGUUUUGGUUUUGCCGUUGUGAGCAGGUGUGGGAGACAGCACCGUGUCUGCAUGUGAAAUAACAAAGUCAUCGCAGUGGAGGGACUCUCUGAAGGCUGCUGUUUGUGGAUUUGUCUUGUAAUGUGAGUGAUCUACUGUACUCUGAUGCCACUGUCUGUACGCACGCUGCACUGCAGGGGAGACACCGCUGGCAUUCACAGGGCAUGCUUGUUCAUUUAAAGCAUGCUGCACUGUAGGGGAGACACCGCUGGCAUUCACAGGGCAUGCUUGUUCAUUUAAAGCACACUGCACUGUAGGAGAGACACCGCUGGCAUUCACAGGGCAUGCUUGUUCAUUUAAAGCACACUGCACUGUAGGAGAGACACCGCUGGCAUUCACAGGGCAUGCUUGUUCAUUUAAAGCACUACUUUAAAGACCCAUAUGACUUCAUAGAAGGAAUUCACAAAUUUCAUCUCGUUACUUAACACACACCACCACAUAACAGCGAAGUAAACUUUUUAGACACCACCACUUACAAAGGACCACAUUUUUCACAAACACACCAACUAGACACCAAAGUAUAUUUUAAAGAAAGACACACUCUGUUUGAGGAGCCAAUUACCUAUGUCAAACCAGGAGCAUAUUUGAUCCAAUCAAAAGUGAUUGAAGGUAAUAAAACAUGUUAUUUUAAAAUACUGCGUGGACACAGCAGUUCCACUUAGUCACCACUGUGUGGCAGCAUUGAUACUGAAAUAUUUAACAGUUUUGCAGUGCAGGGAAAUAAAUGGCACCUCGUAUUUUAUCAUGUUUGACGUCUACUGCCUUAAAUAUUUAAACUGGGGUGGGGAAUAACUACAGCUUGAUUUGCCUGAGGCUUGUUAACCACAAUCCCAGGGGUUUGAUUUCAGAUGCAAGGAAAAAAAACAAAAAUAAAAAAUAGUCUUGCCUAAUGAAUAUUUACACUAGAAUACAGAAUUAACCAAACAAAUAUGAGAAACUUUAUUGGAAUAUAAAUACAAAUUUAUUACAAAAAGCUAGGAGCAGUGUACAUGUUAUGAUAUUAAAAGCAGACACAUCGCGGCUCCAGGAUGCAUCAGUACCCUUGGGGAUGGGAACCUCUGACCUAUACCGAUUUCAGAAAGCUUGAUUAUACCCUUGACCUAUCACCAUGGAAACAGUAGCUGCAAGUGGCCAUGUUUGUUGUUUGACCUGCUCUGCAGUUUCAGCACUCGCUCGCCCGGGCUGGUAAAAAAAAAAAAAAAUUGAUUACAAAUAAAACCUCCCCACAAAAAUUUGCAAAAUGGUGUUUCAGUUCUGGGCCUCUCACUCAAGCACACCCUGUCCCGCAGGGGCUGGGAACCUUGAAUUUAUUCCACUUCUGAACAUUGAUUUGAACCCAGGCCUACAAUGCAACUAGAUGCCACCCUACCCCAUAUACUUAAGUUGAUGUACAUGUCUGUUAUACCAAUAUUAUGAAAGUUAAAUUUGGAUAAAAACUAAAAUUUAAAUAACCAACUCUGUCAUUAUUACAACACUUUGAAACUCCUGAUUGGAUUACUACGUCUUUUCAGCCAAUACAAUAAAAUGCAUUGCCUUAAAAUACUAGUGACAUUUUGCGACUACAGGAAACUGACACGGAAAUCUGUUUUACCUGGAGAUGAAAGCAGGUGCUCGGUUGUGGCUGCAGUGCCAUUGGCCCUUUUCCUGCAAAAAAAAUAAAUAAACAAAAUAGAUUGUACAUCAACCCCCCCCCCCCACACACCUUUUUUCUACAAGUUCUCCCCGUUAGCAAGAGCAGAUUCAAUGGUAAAGACAGCAUAUUUGAAACGUAUUGGAGAUGCAUGACAAAUACAUGGUUGGCAGGCGUUUCUGUAUCCAAAAUGUUUCUUGUAUAGCUAUAGAAAGAAUGGCAUGGGCCAGUUACAACAUAGCAUUCACAUUCACUACAUAAUUUUACCAUCCAAUAGAAGCUUGGUCACUUAUAAAAUAGAAGCACAAAAAGAAAUGCGUUCACAAGAGUGGAUUAAAUAGAUGUGUUAAAUUGGCACCAGUACUGCUUUCGUUGCGAGGGUACUUUGCACACACAAGGACACUAUACAACAUAAUACACAACCUAAUUAUUUAGAAGGCAACACAAAGUUAAUACCUGUUGUCUUGUUUGAAUUUGCACCUGCAAUGGUUACCUGCAAAAGAGGAGCAUAGAACCAGGUUACUAAACUCACUUGUUAAUGCGUGCAAAAACGCAUUGCACUGUCCAUUACAACACAAGAAAGUUUACAAACAAGGAGGCAUUUCAGCCCAUCUUGGUUGUUAGGAGCUCAUUCAGUUGCAUCUUUGCCCUUUAAUCUAAAACAAUAUGCAGGUGUCCCCCUUGCAGUACUUACUGAAGAGGAUGCAGAUGCCAAUGAGACAGAGGACAGCAGCCAUGAUCAGUCCUCCCACACGCAGCUGACUGUAGUCUGGAGUUGAAACAAAAAAAAAAAAAAGUCUAAAACCACCUGAAAAUAUGAACGCACCCAUCUGACGAGUUUGUGAACUGAGGUAGUCUGUCUUUGUUUACAUAUAUUACAGGCGCCACAAAUCAGUUUAUAUUUUCUACAAGUAUCUAUGGAUGGGACCCCCCGCCUUUAUGCGAGAACUGAAAUGUUUAAGUGUCAUUUAGAGAUUAAAUUAUUAUGUUUAUAAUAUCAAAAGUAUGCGAUCAGCUAGAAAGAUAGUGAUCUAUGAAAAGGAGCAGACUUACCAUAUGUAAAGGGGUCCGUUUUCUCUGCUGAAAAAAGAAUUAUACAUGAUAAAACCUGGCUUACUUGCAGUACCACAAUAUACAUCUUUAACAAUUUCACUGAACAGUUGUAAGACGUUAUAUUGUAUUAAUUGUGACCAUUGUACAAUUCUCUUGAAGGAAUAAAUCCUUAAUUCUCUCCCCCUGUAAUCUCACACACUGUCAAGAGCCUGAUCUGAAGAUUUUUCAAAUCAAUAGAGUCCCAUAAGGUUAAACCUACAGUAUUGUUUAAGAUUUGUCUGUGCAGUUCAUAUGUGGUUACGUUCUGUACUCUGUAUCAUUGGUUUUUCCUCCGUUCCGGAAUUAAACUUUAUUGGAAAUCACAUCAAGACGACUGGAAUUAUGUUUGAGAAAUAAA